UACGUAGGGGGCAAGCGUUAUCCGGAUUUACUGGGUGUAAAGGGAGCGUAGACGGCGUGCCAAGUCUGAUGUGAAAGGCCAGGGCUCAACCCUGGGACUGCAUUGGAAACUGUUUAACUGGAGUGUCGGAGAGGCAAGUGGAAUUCCUAGUGUAGCGGUGAAAUGCGUAGAUAUUAGGAGGAACACCAGCGGCGAAGGCGGCUUACUGGAUCGUGACUGACGUUGAGGCUCGAAAGCGUGGGGAGCAAACAGG
Molecule: ribosomal RNA, 253 nt
Filed under: uncultured Lachnospiraceae bacterium
Lineage: Bacteria; Bacillati; Bacillota; Clostridia; Lachnospirales; Lachnospiraceae
Description: partial 16S ribosomal RNA
Rfam family: Bacterial small subunit ribosomal RNA
Source: RNAcentral